Molecule: non-coding RNA, 113 nt
Organism: Acanthosepion pharaonis
Lineage: Eukaryota; Metazoa; Mollusca; Cephalopoda; Sepiida; Sepiidae
Source: the annotation of a GenBank genome assembly
UACGACUACAUCACGUCGAAACAUCGGUAGACAUACGAUCACCGAAGACAAGCAAUAUCGAGCUAGGUCAGUACCCAGAUGGGUGACCGCCUCGGAAAACCAAGUGCUGUAAG